GUGAAUCAUCGAAUUUUUGAACGCAAAUUGCACUCUCUUCGGAGAGUAUGCCUGUUUGAGGGUGAGCCUCAAAAAAAUCUACGUAGUCGGUGUUUCGCGGUGACAUUCGUCGGAAUUUGGGUCAUCUUAAACCUUUGGGUUUUUUAAGCGGCUUGAAAUUUUCGUUAUAAUUGCACGACCGUUUGUAAGAUUUUCUUU
This 198-nucleotide unclassified non-coding RNA is filed under the name Glomus sp. RNAcentral's name for it is "partial contains 5.8S ribosomal RNA and internal transcribed spacer 2". The stretch from base 1 to 65 matches the Rfam family "5.8S ribosomal RNA", at positions 84 to 154 of the family's 154-position model. Lineage: Eukaryota; Fungi; Glomeromycota; Glomeromycetes; Glomerales; Glomeraceae. The record is from RNAcentral.